Molecule: ribosomal RNA, 165 nt
Filed under: uncultured bacterium
Lineage: Bacteria
Description: partial 16S rRNA
Rfam family: Bacterial small subunit ribosomal RNA
Source: RNAcentral
UAGGGAAUCUUCGGCAAUGGACGAAAGUCUGACCGAGCAACGCUGCGUGAGUGAAGAAGGUUUUCGGAUCGUAAAACUCUGUUGGUAGAGAAGAACGUUGGUGAGAGUGGAAAGCUCAUCAAGUGACGGUAACUACCCAGAAAGGGACGGCUAACUACGUGACAG